Molecule: ribosomal RNA, 253 nt
Filed under: uncultured bacterium
Lineage: Bacteria
Description: partial 16S ribosomal RNA
Rfam family: Bacterial small subunit ribosomal RNA
Source: RNAcentral
CGAAGGGGCUAGCGUUGCUCGGAAUUACUGGGCGUAAAGGGCGCGUAGGCGGAUCGUUAAGUCAGAGGUGAAGUCCCAGGGCUCAACCCUGGAACUGCCUUUGAUACUGGCGAUCUUGAGUGUGAGAGAGGUAUGUGGAACUCCGAGUGUAGAGGUGAAAUUCGUAGAUAUUCGGAAGAACACCAGUGGCGAAGGCGACAUACUGGCUCAUUACUGACGCUGAGGCGCGAAAGCGUGGGGAGCAAACAGGAUU